AGAAUGUGGACCUAAAAAUAGAA
RNAcentral lists this transfer RNA (23 nucleotides) under Carlia amax. RNAcentral's name for it is "partial tRNA-His". Lineage: Eukaryota; Metazoa; Chordata; Lepidosauria; Squamata; Scincidae. The record is from RNAcentral.